GUGUUUGUAGCUUAAAUUUGGAUAAAGCCCUAAACUACGAAUUUAGAGAGUGAAAGUUCGAGUCUUUCCAAACACA
Molecule: transfer RNA, 76 nt
Filed under: Gelidiella flabella
Lineage: Eukaryota; Rhodophyta; Florideophyceae; Gelidiales; Gelidiellaceae
Description: tRNA-Arg
Rfam family: tRNA
About the family: Transfer RNA (tRNA) molecules are approximately 80 nucleotides in length. Their secondary structure includes four short double-helical elements and three loops (D, anti-codon, and T loops).
Source: RNAcentral